RNAcentral lists this unclassified non-coding RNA (309 nucleotides) under plant metagenome. RNAcentral's name for it is "partial contains 5.8S ribosomal RNA, internal transcribed spacer 2, and large subunit ribosomal RNA". The stretch from base 1 to 105 matches the Rfam family "5.8S ribosomal RNA", at positions 50 to 154 of the family's 154-position model. The record is from RNAcentral.
GAAAUGCGAUAAGUAGUGUGAAUUGCAGAAUUCAGUGAAUCAUCGAAUCUUUGAACGCACAUUGCGCCCCUUGGUAUUCCAUGGGGCAUGCCUGUUCGAGCGUCGUUUGUACCCUCAAGCUCUGCUUGGUGUUGGGUGUUUGUCCCGUCUCCGCGCGUGGACUCGCCCCAAAGUGAUUGGCAGCCGGCGUACUGGUCCCGGAGCGCAGCACAUGUCGCGCAAACGAGUGCCUUGGUACGGCGGCGUCCAUAAGCCCCUCUCUCACGCUCUUGACCUCGGAUCAGGUAGGGAUACCCGCUGAACUUAAGC